AUCCUCUCUUGCCUAUUGGCUAAGAUCAAGUGUAGUAUCUGUUCUUUUCAGUCUAAUAUCUGAAACGUUACACACUGUGUAACUUCGAUAUUAACGAAUUUUUGCACUUGGGAAAGAGUCACUUGGCUUGCCAAUACUCUUUCCAUGAGUGUCCCUAGUAUUGCACUACUUCUAGGCGACGCUCACAUUUU
Molecule: small nuclear RNA, 191 nt
Organism: Rhizophagus irregularis DAOM 197198w
Lineage: Eukaryota; Fungi; Glomeromycota; Glomeromycetes; Glomerales; Glomeraceae
Rfam family: U2 spliceosomal RNA
About the family: U2 is a small nuclear RNA (snRNA) component of the spliceosome (involved in pre-mRNA splicing). Complementary binding between U2 snRNA (in an area lying towards the 5' end but 3' to hairpin I) and the branchpoint sequence (BPS) of the intron results the bulging out of an unpaired adenosine, on the BPS, which initiates a nucleophilic attack at the intronic 5' splice site, thus starting the first of two transesterification reactions that mediate splicing.
Source: Rfam